This is an RNA transcript of Paramormyrops kingsleyae, 2154 nucleotides long. It is a transcript of the gene named T-cell surface glycoprotein CD3 epsilon chain-like, with no coding region annotated. Lineage: Eukaryota; Metazoa; Chordata; Actinopteri; Osteoglossiformes; Mormyridae. The record is from RefSeq and is a predicted model, not a curated record.
GGGGGUGCAAAGGGAGAGAGAUGUAAGAGAUGGCGAUCCAGAGAGACCUGGGGGAGUAACGGACAUGGGGGUGGAUUAUUAUAGGCCACGGUUAUCAGGAAAGCUUAUUUUCAGGAGGUGCGGCACAGCUUAAGUGAGACAGAGGCGAGGAGAGAGUGCUGUAGGUUUUUGGGACAAAGAAAGAUGCAGCAACAUUAAGGACAAGGGGAGGGUCCCGCGAGGCUUCAGGGACAUGCUCAGUCACUGCGCGCUUGGAGGAAGGGAGGACAUGAAGUGAAAUGGAAAUGAACAUGUGAAUAGAAAAUAAAGAGGCAUCAGAGGACCAAUGAGGAAAACAACCUGGAGAGAUCUGUGUCCCCCCCAGCCUGCAGUCAGGGGGGGGGGGGGGGGGGGGGGUGGAUGAUGAGGCAAAAGUCUUUGCAGGAGGGAGGAAGGCAGGAGAUUGAGUUGAGAGGGCAGUCGAGGGAGGCAGUGGGAGCCUUCAGAGGGACUCAGUUUCCUCACUGUCACUUCUACCUCUCUCUCCAUCUCUCUCGCUCUCUCUCUCUCUCGCACACAUCCACUUCUCAGUUUGCAGUUGACACAAUGUAGAACAUUCUCUUUUAAAAAGAUUACCGACACUGCUUCUUGCCGAAGUUGGAGACCUCAGGCCGUCCCACAAACGACUCAGCGUCAGUAGAAAAAAAAGCGGAGCGCCCCCCCCCCUCCCCAUACCUCCCUCAUCAGUCUCCGCUCCCCAGCGAGACGUAACUGCAAGAGGACCAGUAAAGGUGGAAGAAAGGGACGAUGCUUUUACGUGUGUUUUACUCACCGGGAUGGAGAAGAAGAGAGAGCUGCUUUAUCCGCUGGACUCACCAGAUCCGCAGAGAAGAUGGUGAUACACCUCAGUGCCAUUCCAUUCCCAGCUGUCGACCGGACACAUUGUCCUUCUUACAGUAUGUAGUGAAGCUAAUGGCCUGAGCUGGACAGAACCACCCCAUGCCCAGACUGAUUUAAAGAUGGUACAAGAUGUCAGCAGUAGCAGAGCAGAACAGCUGGAGCGGAAGUAUUUAAUGGACACUGGAAAAAGCACUCAGAGUGAUAACAUCCAGAGGCAAUUAGUCACUGACAAGGGCGUAACUUUGGCUGGAACAUAGGGGGGGUUGAAGUCUCCAGCCAUUACACGGGAAACAUGAUUAUUGGGGGGGUUGUAUCAGCUGGUUUUGAUUUAUUGGGGGGGCUACGACCCCCCCGUAAUUUACGCCCAUGGUCAAUGUACUUGUGGCAAUUUUUUUAUGAUACGGCUUUCUUUUGCAAUCUACACACAUUUUUGACUUGAAACUUAAUCGGCUGCAUUGUGUCAUUUCAGGUACAUUGCUAAUAGUUACACUGCCCCCAGUUCCCAGAGAUUCCUUCCCCAAGAAAAUCUAUGUAAGUAGGCUACAGAUUUGGCAUUUUAGCAGCAACUAGCCCUACUUUGUUUGAGAAGCAAGUACCAAAAUUAAUGCGCACUAUCAUUCACAUUACAAAUCUAUCACAUUAUUUCAAAAGUUUUGUUUUAUCUUGAGGAAGCCACUUCACUGAUUGAGCCUGUAACACUGGAUUCAUUGCCUGGGGGGGUGUAAUGGUUUCACUGCGCGAUUUCGGUAUGGCUGGGAGAGCAAUUAGUUUUGAAAAUAUUAAUUAUUAAAACUGAAAACACCAAUACAAUUAGGAACAGGUGUAAACCAAAGGAAAUUUGUCUGUCAAUGAAUAAUUAAUCCUAAAAAAUGCUUAUUUGCACAAAUAUAAAUAAGCAAAAUAAAAAUGGGACUGAAUCAUAAUGAUCAUAAUGAACUAAAUCCUGUCUAAAUUACAUGUCCCCUACGACCAAUAACUGUAGCAAUAAACACUCCUCUAGUCAUAGUUAUUGUUUUUUAGUCUGGUUUGAAUUUCCUGGCAAAAGAGCCUUAAACGCCACAGGUAGCUAAUCUUACAGGUGCUGUUUCUGCCGUACGCCGGUCAUACACACACUAUGAUGAUGAUGUCUCAGACUGGUUAGCACAUCAGAGGUGUUUCCAGCAACAUGUCCCAGUUCAGCAUAACAGAGAUAACAGACAGUCUUGGACAGUGUUGCUGGAAUUUAUUGGGAUACUGAAAUAUUUCCCUAAACUACCAAUUAUGAGCAACAGUGGG